GCAGCACGUAUAUCUGCGAGAAAACCUUUUCGCAUGAAACUGCUGAAAACCCCGAUGAGAUCAAGAUUGACAGAUGAACAUUUGCAUCAGUGCUUGAGACUGGCUGUAACUAGAAUGGAACCUGAUAUUCAACUUCUCACCAGCCAGAUGCAGGCCCACAGUUCACACUGAUGAACAUACAUAGGGAAGUUGAUGAGAGAGAGCUGCAAACAGCGGUGUCUACAAGCCUACUGGAACCUACAAAAGGAUUAUAAGGAAGGAACACAAGAACUUUAAGAGACUGCUCAUAUGUGUCAGAGAGAUUCUGCUCUGACAACUGAGCUGAACUUUUAUCUGUUAAGAUUGUGCAUGGCACGACAGAAAGUUAAUGUUCCAUGGCUUUUUUUCUAUGAAGAACCCAGAGAUAGUUAUUUAGUUAUUAUUUAUUUCCUGUUUUUUCUGUGAAGAACUCAGAGAGGGUUAUUUAGUUAUGAUUUAUUUCAUUAAUAGUGUUAUUAUUUGUUUCCUGACUUUUUUUCUGUAAAGAACCUGGAAAGGGUUAUUUGGUUAUGUGUGGCUUUCUGGAAAACAAUACAUUUUUUAAGCUCCCCUACGAUCGUCACACUUUUUCUGUUACAAACUGACACCGGCCCCCCAUCAGAGAAGGGAAAAGUUAUGUGGCCCUCACAGGAAAAAGUUUGGGGACCCCUGGUUUAGAGAAAAAGAAUGGACAAAGAAAAAUUAUUAAUUGUCUCAAAUCAGCUGUUGGACAAGAGCUCACUAGCCCUAGUGAAAUUAGAAAGAGGGCAGUAGAGUUCUAUGCUGAGCUCUACAAGUGUGAGUACAAAGAGGACAAAACAGUGACACAGCAGUUCUUUGAUGGGCUCCCAAAGGUGGCUGCAGAAGCUCAGGUUGAGCUUGAGCAACCAUUGUCUUUGCAGGAUUUAUACACUGCAUUAAAAGGCAUGGAAAAUGGAAGGGCACCAGGCAUUGAUGGGCUUCCCGUUGACUUUUUUAAGUCUUUUUGGGCUAUGUUGGGAGAGGAUUGGUUAGAAGUAGCUAAUGAUAGUUUAACCGGAGGGUUACUACCAAUAAGCUGCAGAAGGGCUGUCCUCACCCUACUGCCCAAAAAGGGUGACCCGAGGGAGGUGAAGAACUGGAGGCCGGUGGCUUUAUUGUGCACUGAUUAUAAGAUAUUGUCAAAAGCUUUGUCCAACAGGCUGAGGGAGGUGAUGGGGCAAAUCAUACAUACGGAUCAGUCCUACUGUGUUCCUGGCAGGCAGAUAGGGGAUAACAUUUCUCUGAUUCGUGAUUUUUUGGACGUCUCUAGGGCUAUUGGGUUGGAUGCUGGUCUAAUUUCAAUUGAUCAGGAAAAGGCAUUUGACCGAGUUGAACAUCAAUAUUUAUGGCACACGUUUGAGGCGUUUGGGUUCAGCUCUGGUUUUAUUGCCAUGAUAAAGGUGAUAUAUGGUGACAUUGAAAGUGUAUUGAAAGUUAACGGUGGUUUGAGUGCUCCUUUUAAAGUGUGUAGAGGUAUUAGGCAGGGAUGUUCUAUGUCAGGGAUGUUAUAUGCCAUUGCUAUAGAGCCACUACUAAAUAUCAUUAGAAGUCGCAUUGCAGGGGUGUGCCUUUCAGAGGAUAUUACUCCUAUUCGUCUCUCAGCCUAUGCUGAUGAUGCAGUUGUGCUAGUGAAAAAUCAAGUGGAGGUGGAUAGCUUGAGUCUAAUGGUUGAUCGUUUUAGGGGAAUAUCCUCUGCAAAGGUAAAUUGGGAAAAGAGUUGUGCGUUACAGAUUGGAGAAUGGUCUGGAGGGAUCAUGGCUUUGCCAGGGGGGCUAGAAUGGUGUAAGGGAGGUUUUAAGUAUCUUGGAGUGUACCUAGGAGAUGAGGGGACUAUGGAAAAAAAUUGGAGUGGGGUGGUUGAAAUGGUGGAAGGGAGGAUGAGGAGAUGGCGUUGGUUAUUAUCUCGUAUGUCAUAUAGGGGGCGCACUAUUAUAGUUAACAAUGUGAUUGCAUCUGCACUGUGGCAUCGGUUGUCAGUUUUAGAACCACCAUCUGGCCUUCUGGCUAAGAUACAGGCAAUUAUUGUGGAUUUCUUUUGGGAUAAAUAUCACUGGGUUCCACAAAGUGUUUUGUAUUUGUCAAAAGAAGAGGGGGACAAGGUCUUGUACAUCUUGCUAGUAGGGCUGCUGCUUUCCGGUUUCAGUUUAUUCAAAGGUUGCUUUAUGGACGGAGUCAGUGCAUUGGCUGUUGGAGGAACCUCUGAUGUAUGGGGCAAGACUGGAUUGUACAACUGCAGUUGUUCCAUAUUUCUCCAAGAUUCUGGUGAAGGGAAAAAUCAUCACCUUAAGACAGUUAAUGGCCAUGGCUGGGCCCGCCUUAAUGGAUGGAAGACGAGUGGCAGAACAUUUGGGGAUGAGGUCGGAAAGGAUUGUCGGACAAAUGCUGGGGAGCUGUAGGAAGGCUCUGUCAGCGGAAGAAUGGGGUAUGCUUAGUAGUCACAAGAAGAAGGUACAAGAUGAAGACGUCUCAUUUCCAAGACUAGGGAUUACACCAAAUAUCCCAGAGUCAGAAAGAAAGGCGUUAUUGCUGGAUUUGGGAGGGUUGGAGGAGGUGGGUUUGGAUGAGGUGAAUGGGAAGGAUUUGUAUAGGGGGUGUGUCAAGGUGUUGAAUAAAGAGAAAUUGAAAAAUAGAAAAGACACUCCAUGGAGGGUAAAAUUGGGCAUUGAUGAUAGGGUAAAGCCAGCAUGGAGAGAACUGUACAAACCACCGUUACAAAAGGGUACUGGUGAUAUGCAAUGGAGGGUUUUACAUGGCAUCAUUGCAGUUAAUGCUUUUGUAUCUGUUAUUAAUUCAGAUGUUAGAGACGGAUGUCCUUUUUGUAAUAUAAGAGAAACCAUUUUUCACUGUUUUAUGGAGUGUGAGAGGAUAAAACCUCUAUUGGAAAUGCUGGAAUCUUUGUUUAAAGCUGUAGGGGAAUUUUUCAAUAACACUGUUUUUAUUUUGGGGUUUCAAUAUAGUAAACAACAGAAAAGAAAAUGUUACAUUUUAUUUUGGGACAAGCUAAGAUGUCAAUUUUUCUGAGUAGAAAACAUAAGAUAGAAACGGGAUAUGGGAAGGAUGUAAGAUGUGUUUUUAAAGGAUUAGUGAAAGCAAGAAUAAAAGUAGAUUUUGAGUUCU
Oncorhynchus nerka (sockeye salmon) is the source of this 3156-nucleotide long non-coding RNA. RefSeq lists it as uncharacterized. The transcript is spliced from 2 exons. Lineage: Eukaryota; Metazoa; Chordata; Actinopteri; Salmoniformes; Salmonidae. The record is from RefSeq and is a predicted model, not a curated record.